RNAcentral lists this ribosomal RNA (450 nucleotides) under uncultured bacterium. RNAcentral describes it as "bacterial SSU rRNA". It matches the Rfam family "Bacterial small subunit ribosomal RNA", at positions 354 to 796 of the family's 1533-position model. The record is from RNAcentral.
GUGGGGAAUUUUGGACAAUGGGCGCAAGCCUGAUCCAGCAAUGCCGCGUGCAGGAAGAAGGCCUUCGGGUUGUAAACUGCUUUUGUACGGAACGAAACGGUCCUGGUUAAUACCUGGGGCUAAUGACGGUACCGUAAGAAUAAGCACCGGCUAACUACGUGCCAGCAGCCGCGGUAAUACGUAGGGUGCAAGCGUUAAUCGGAAUUACUGGGCGUAAAGCGUGCGCAGGCGGUUUUGUAAGACAGGCGUGAAAUCCCCGGGCUCAACCUGGGAAUUGCGCUUGUGACUGCAAGGCUGGAGUGCGGCAGAGGGGGAUGGAAUUCCGCGUGUAGCAGUGAAAUGCGUAGAUAUGCGGAGGAACACCGAUGGCGAAGGCAAUCCCCUGGGCCUGCACUGACGCUCAUGCACGAAAGCGUGGGGAGCAAACAGGAUUAGAAACCCUAGUAGUCC